UGGCUCAGUUGGUAGAGCAUGGUGUUUGUAAUGCGAGGCUUGUGGGUUCAAUUCCCAU
Molecule: non-coding RNA, 58 nt
Organism: Salmo salar (Atlantic salmon)
Lineage: Eukaryota; Metazoa; Chordata; Actinopteri; Salmoniformes; Salmonidae
Source: Rfam